Molecule: ribosomal RNA, 473 nt
Filed under: uncultured bacterium
Lineage: Bacteria
Description: bacterial SSU rRNA
Rfam family: Bacterial small subunit ribosomal RNA
Source: RNAcentral
ACUCCUACGGGAGGCAGCAGUAGGGAAUCUUCCACAAUGGGCGCAAGCCUGAUGGAGCAACACCGCGUGAGUGAAGAAGGGUUUCGGCUCGUAAAGCUCUGUUGUUAAAGAAGAACACGUAUGAGAGUAACUGUUCAUACGUUGACGGUAUUUAACCAGAAAGUCACGGCUAACUACGUGCCAGCAGCCGCGGUAAUACGUAGGUGGCAAGCGUUAUUCGGAUUUAUUGGGCGUAAAGAGAGUGCAGGCGGUUUUCUAAGUCUGAUGUGAAAGCCUUCGGCUUAACCGGAGAAGUGCAUCGGAAACUGGAUAACUUGAGUGCAGAAGAGGGUAGUGGAACUCCAUGUGUAGCGGUGGAAUGCGUAGAUAUAUGGAAGAACACCAGUGGCGAAGGCGGCUACCUGGUCUGCAACUGACGCUGAGACUCGAAAGCAUGGGUAGCGAACAGGAUUAGAUACCCUGGUAGGAUAGCG